Molecule: transfer RNA, 68 nt
Filed under: Marmota monax (woodchuck)
Lineage: Eukaryota; Metazoa; Chordata; Mammalia; Rodentia; Sciuridae
Description: tRNA.Ala
Source: RNAcentral
GUUGUGGCUCAGAGGUAGACCGCUCCCCUAGCAUGGGCAAGGCCCUGGGUUUGAUCCUCAGCACGACA